Molecule: ribosomal RNA, 501 nt
Filed under: Triticum aestivum (bread wheat)
Lineage: Eukaryota; Viridiplantae; Streptophyta; Magnoliopsida; Poales; Poaceae
Description: partial small subunit ribosomal RNA
Source: RNAcentral
GCACGUCGCCCUAAGGCCCCGCCUGCGGGACAUGCUAAAAUCCACGUGGACGCGGCAGUUUCCAAGACCCGCAACUGUGGUGCUGCGGCGGCGGUGUGCAGGAGUAACGGCGGAAACUUCAUGGGCAGUUCAGCAUUGGUGAUACAUGGGAUAACUGAUGCAGCAACAUUAGAAGCUAUUGCAUGCAGGGAAGGUUUUGCUCUGGCGCAAGAUUUACUAUUGACUGAUUUUGUUAUAGUUUCGGACUCCAAGCAAGUAGUUAAUGAUAUUAAGUCAGCAAGCAAUGGAGGCUACAGAGCAAUCAUCUCGGAGAUUAGGAAUCUUUUAGUAGGGUUCGAUUGUAAUAUUACUUUCGAAGGAAGAGCGUCUAAUAGUGAUGUCGAUAGAUUAGUCAAGUUUGCACACUCAUUGGAUCGGGGUAGGCAUUUGUGGUUUCUGGAACCCCAUGAUCCUUUUUGUAUCCCACUUAAUGUGGUUUUUGAGCAAUUAAAACUUGGUUAG